AACCCUAAGGCUGAAAGCGGGGUAGCAACAAGGAUUGAUACUGGUAGUCCACGCCGUAAACGAUGGUUACUAGUCGCUUUGUCCCUUGAGGACUUAGUGACGCAGCUAACGCAAUAAGUAGACCGCCUGGGGAGUACGGCCGCAAGGUUAAAACUCAAAUGAAUUGACGGGGGCCCGCACAAGCGGUGGAGCAUGUGGUUUAAUUCGAUGCAACGGGAAGAACCUUACCUGGUCUUGACAUACACAGAAUCUUGUAGAGAUACGAGAGUGCCUUCGGGAAUUGUGAUACAGGUGCUGCAUGGCUGUCGUCAGCUCGUGUCGUGAGAUGUUGGGUUAAGUCCCGCAACGAGCGCAACCCUUGUCCUUAGUUACCAGCGGGUUAAGCCGGGAACUCUAAGGAUACUGCCAGUGACAAACUGGAGGAAGGCGGGGACGACGUCAAGUCAUCAUGGCCCUUACGACCAGGGCUACACACGUGCUACAAUGGUAGGUACAGAGGGCAGCUACACAGCGAUGUGAUGCGAAUCUCAAAAAGCCUAUCGUAGUCCAGAUUGGAGUCUGCAACUCGACUCCAUGAAGUAGGAAUCGCUAGUAAUCGCGGAUCAGAAUGCCGCGGUGAAUACGUUCCCGGGCCUUGUACACACCGCCCGUCACACCAUGGGAGUUGAUUGCACCAGAAGUGGUUAGCC
This 689-nucleotide ribosomal RNA is filed under the name uncultured bacterium. Its description in RNAcentral is "bacterial SSU rRNA". It matches the Rfam family "Bacterial small subunit ribosomal RNA", at positions 743 to 1435 of the family's 1533-position model. The record is from RNAcentral.